UUCCCUUCUUUAUUUCCGAUUACAAAGCCAGAAGAAAAAUUUUCAUCGCCUCUGUCGCUCCCACACCAUCAUCUCUGUCGCUCCAUCACCACCCCAUCUCGAUCGCCUCCACCACAACUAGCACCACCACCUCCAGUAUGUCCACCAUUACUAUAUCAUCAGAUUUAUCAAAUUGGUUUGGUUUUGGUAGAUGGAAAAUUGAGUUUACAGAUUAUUAAGAAUCGAUCUGAUGCUUUCAGAGAAGAUGCUAUUUGUUUAGUUUAUUUUUCCCCUGCAUCUGCUCAUCAAGUCGUUUCUUAUCUUGGAGAAAUUAGAUAAUAAUUUUAAAGAUUUUAACACACCACCAAUUAUCGAUUCAACUGGUCGUUUGUGAGUGGUACUGAUGGGGUUGUUGUAUUUGGUGGUUCUUUUUCAUAUUGGUGGUGAAUUUGUUAGAUUUAGUGGUAUGAUCUAAAAGGUUAGCAGGUAAGCAGUACUAUGCAACAUAGGAUUGGUUUACACAUUUAUCAAUUGUUUGUUAUGAUAUAAAGAGGUACUUAAUCCAACGUUAAUCAUGUCUUUUUAGUAUUACUAUCUAAAAAGCUGCAGCCAUGUUACGCUUUUAGUUGAUUUCUUUUCAAAGUUUGUUUAAUUUGGUUUGGUUUUAAUAAAGAUUUUGGUUGUUAUUGAUUUUAUUAAGUACUAAUUAUGCUAAAUGGUAUGUUACAUUUGAUAUUGGUGGUGGUGGUGGGAAUAACAGAAGUGAGAAAGGUGGUGAGUAUGGUGAGAACAAUGGAUACCAAGGAGGAGAUCACAGUGGUUGUCGUGGUGGUGGAGGGAGACGGGGUUCUACAAAAGAGAAAAUAGAUAUGGAAAGGCCCCUUCUACAACAACAUUCGAGGGAUUUGUAAUUCACAUACAGUACUUCUAUGGUUCUGUUUCACUGCUUCCACUGACUGCUGCAAGUGCUCUAUCACUCAAGUGGAAUAUCUAAGAAAUCGUGAUGCUAUUAGCCUUGUUGAUUGGCAAUUUGGAAUGAUGUGUAUUUCCUUUGUUAUAUGUUGAACAUUUGGUGAUGGAGGACGCGGUGAAGGUUAUGAGGGUGUCGAAAAGCAUAUUGUUUCCGAACGGAAAAAUGAUCUUAACUAGUAUAUGUAUUGUUGGACACAUCAUAGUCACAUCACAUCUUGUCGCUGUUAAAUGGGCGUAUAGUUAAGAUUAGGAUGCAUAUUGAAUUUUAUGUUACUCAAAAUAUAAAAUGAAAUCUUGCUUUUGCAUAUUUAGUUAUUCUCUGUCUGGGUGCUUUCCUUUAUGAUGAACCUAGAAUUUUUUAUUUUCAUUUUGGCAGUUGUAUGAACCUAGAAUUAUUCUCUGACUGGGUGGUUUCCUAAUUGUAAUUGCUGAUUUUAUAAACAUAGAAUUCUUGAUUUGUAUAGAUUGUGGUAGGAUGUUUGUUAGCGGCCACGGGAUGUGUCACUCAUUUUUGUUGGUAAGAGCAGUCAUUUCAUGUACGAGUUGAUCGAUUUGAUAAUGUAUAUCCUACUCUUACAAAAAUCUAUUAUGGUACAUUACUUUUUAAUGAAAAAGUAGCAGCUCAUUCUCGAGUC
Molecule: long non-coding RNA, 1586 nt
Organism: Papaver somniferum (opium poppy)
Lineage: Eukaryota; Viridiplantae; Streptophyta; Magnoliopsida; Ranunculales; Papaveraceae
Exons: 4
Source: RefSeq, a predicted model, not a curated record